AUGGUUACGGGGGAGGAGCUUGAGCACACAGAGACAGAUUCAUCUACGUUGCCGGCGGCUGCGGCUGACGUGGUUACGACUCUAGCAACGGUGACAGUACUGGCAACAUCUGGAGCUUUAAAUCUCAGAGAGGGUACUUCUAACAAAGGGCCGGAGAAAGUGGAGGGAGAGAAACUCUCCAAGUGGGCAAUUAAGAAAAAGAAGUUGCCUUGCUUUAGAUGUGGCGAACCGGGUCACUUUAUGGCAGAGUGCACUAAUGAGUUUUGUGAUUAUUGCCUAAAAUCUCAGCACCUUACUGGAGAUUGCCCACUUCUAUCUGGUCCUAAACCUGGCAUUAGCAUCUUCGGUGUGUGUUGCAAGGAGCUGAUGUUUUUUGAGACGCCGGAAGUGGACUCGCUACCUCAGAUGGCUGAGAGUUCCUUUCCCGCAGUUGUCCGGGUGACUAAUGGUCAGUUGUCCGAGGCUCAGAUUGUGAGAUAG
This 480-nucleotide ribosomal RNA is filed under the name Triticum aestivum (bread wheat). RNAcentral describes it as "partial small subunit ribosomal RNA". The record is from RNAcentral. Lineage: Eukaryota; Viridiplantae; Streptophyta; Magnoliopsida; Poales; Poaceae.